RNAcentral lists this ribosomal RNA (861 nucleotides) under Amolops hainanensis (Hainan sucker frog). RNAcentral describes it as "partial 16S ribosomal RNA". It matches the Rfam family "Bacterial large subunit ribosomal RNA", at positions 1246 to 2593 of the family's 2925-position model. Lineage: Eukaryota; Metazoa; Chordata; Amphibia; Anura; Ranidae. The record is from RNAcentral.
UAAGCUCAACUACUUUAAACCCUAAAUCCCCUAAAUCAUCAUCAACCCUUAAUUACUACUGAAUUAUAUUAUAUUUAUAUAAAAAUGAUAAUGCUAGAACUAGUAACAAGAAUUAGCCCUUCUCCUAAAUGUAAACUUAAGCCAAAACGGAUAUUCCAUUGGCAAUUACCGCAAAUGCAUUAACUAUAGUACCCUAUACUAGAAAACCCUAUAAACCCCCAAGCGUUAACCUAACACCAGAACAUUACAGGAAAGAUUAAUAGAGGAAGAAGGAACUCGGCAAAUUUCAGUCCCGCCUGUUUACCAAAAACAUCGCCUCUUGCUUAAACAUAAGAGGUCCAGCCUGCCCAGUGAUAUAAUUCAACGGCCGCGGUAUCCUAACCGUGCGAAGGUAGCAUAAUCACUUGUUCUUUAAAUGAGGACUUGUAUCAACGGCAUCACGAGGACUGUACUGUCUCCUUUCUCUAAUCAGUGAAACUGAUCUCCCCGUGAAGAAGCGGGGAUAUAUAUAUAAGACGAGAAGACCCCAUGGAGCUUAAAACAUACACACACCUCUGAAUUACUAAAUCAGUUAAAUAAAGAAAUUUGUGAGUCAGUUUUAGGUUGGGGAGACCACGGAAUAAAACUAAACUUCCAUGACAAACGGGCCAACGCCCUUAUCCAAGAAUUACAAUUCUAAGAAUUAAUAAACUAAUGUCCAAUGAUCCGGCUAGCCGAUCAACGAACCAAGUUACCCUGGGGAUAACAGCGCAAUCUGCUUCAAGAGCCCCUAUCGACAAGCAGGUUUACGACCUCGAUGUUGGAUCAGGGUAUCCUAGUGGUGCAGCCGCUACUAAAGGUUCGUUUGUUCAACGAUUAAAA